AAAACGCAUGCACACACAUGCAAGCACACAGGAUCACACCCACAGACUAACACACACACGAACAUGCAUGCACGCACACAUGCACACCCUUUUCCAACUUGACUGGACCUUCACUGCACGGUCGUAUGGACUGUGGAGAAGAGAUGGGAAAGUGCAUGUAGGAAAGCCAAGCCCUCGUGGAGCUUGUCGAAAGGUUUUUAUGGUGAAUGUGAUUCAAAGCCAUAAUAGCAACUUCCCAGUAGCCAUACCAAUAUUCACACUGUGCAAUGUCCAAGACUGCUGGGCUCUCCACCGACUGAGAGACCGGAUGAAUACUGGUGAUCACGUGAAUUUGUGCAUUUUAACUCUGACCUUUAAAAAAAACUAUUUGCAUGGCAUUCAUAAUAUGUUAAAGCCAAGGGCAUGAAAUACAAACUAAAUCGCUCCGGUUCACCAAGGUAACCAACUUCCUGUUGCAAACGUUAAGAAAAAAAAUGAAAAGACUGAGUUUGAAUGGGCAGAGACAUAUUGACAAACGUAUUUAUUGCUUUUGUCUGCUGGUCAGAAGUACUGAUGGGACUUGUUUGUUUGUUAUUAGUUUACAGUACUCAGAUGUGGACAGCGGAUCACAAACAUUAUUGUAUUGUUAUUUCAGCGUUACUGAAUGUGGCCAAUGUACAAAAUUGUUAGUCGAAACGCCAAGCAAAGGCUGCCACCAAAGCUACAUUUCAAUUAGCAUGAAUGCAUUGUGGCUUCGCCCUAAAGUCACACAUCCCCCGACGAACGCGACUUUGUAAUCGCCUCCAUUCAUUUCAACUGGAGCCGAGUUUUCGCGUCCGCAAUGCAUGCUGGGAUAGCUGGCGAUGUGAGGCAAGUGGGCGGAGCGACCUGAAGGAUGGGAAACAUGGUGCCAUAACCAAUCAGAUUAAAGAUCUUUCCAUUUUAAAUAAUAUUUCCCCCUUCCACAUAGUUCUGUUCGGAGGACUCGUUAAUUAUUGCUUUGUGGGGAUUUCCUAGAUAUACAGCAGAUAUUCAUUUAACGAACACUAUUUUAAAACUCGAAAACAUGCCCAUAAGCAGCAGAUGGAGCUGUGGGAGGAGAGGGCAAUGCCAGGGGAACUUGUCUGAGGAUGUGUGGCUUCACCCUUAGAAUGUCGAUUCCCAUUUUUUUCCCAGCUGGGCAAAUUGAAAAGAGCAGCUUGUGCGUUUGACCCUUGACAAACUGAGAUUUUAAACACCUGUUUUGAUUGCCGUUUCGCCAAAGCCAAAUGUUUGUUGCACGUUCAGCUAAAUUCGCAGCGACAUUCUAAUGGAAACGUAGCAACUGUGGUGCCAUAAAGGAUCCUCAUCAAAUAUGACGAAGAGAAUCAUUUUGCCACAAGGACGAGCUAUUUAAUUCAGCUCCCAGGACAUGGACCAGGUGCACCUGAUCACACUGACGCUCUGAUUUAGUUAUCCUUUAUUAAUAGACUGAUUUAUCUUUGGACUGGUUUAUAUAUGCUCAUUGCAGUUUAAUGGACAUUUUCCCUGGCUCUGAUUGCAUAUUGUAGAAAUGUAUUUUUUGUGCUACUGCAAGACCUGCACCACAGAAUCAGACUGAACCCUCUCAUGGAUUGUCAUGAAAAAAAUGGGUCUUAUUUUAAUAUUGACCCCUAUGUAAUUGGGAGCAUAGCAGUUUAGCUGUACAUUUGUGAUGCACUGAUUUAAUUGGCUAAGAUUUAAUUGGGGGGGGGGGGGGCAGUAGGCUGGAACCACCAAUGGCUCAAUUUUAUUUUAAGACUAAGUUGUUUUUUUUGUAGUUGCGGAAGAAAUAUGUUGACUGAUGAUAUUUAAUUUGUUCAAGAGUUCCAUUCAGGGUUAAAUAUGAAUUCUGUGUCCCACAUCAGAAUGAACAUUUGACAAAACAUUUCUGACAGAACACAUUACAGCAAAUACCAGUUUAAACCUUAAUCAUGUUUAGGGUGACAGUUAAAAAAAGCUCCCUAGGUUGCAUAUAGGAAGAAACCUUGGGAAGAACCAUACUCAGUAGGGGGCCCACCAGCAUCUGGCUUGGUUUGGGGUUGUGGGACCAACGUGGUCAUUAAGUAAAUAUCGACUCAUUUUGAAUGAAGGGAUGAGAGCACAUAAGCAGUGGUUGUAUCCCGCCAUUUUCUGUAACUCCUUGUCCUUGUCGCACUUCUCAUCCGUUGCGCUAAAGUCGGCCUAGAAGCAGUAGUUUGCUGGCUCUGGGUUUAUUAUGGGAUGUUUUGGCCGUAGGUUCGCUAGACACCUUCUGGACGCGCCGGCCUCUUGUUGUACCCAAAUGGGCAACACCACAGUCUAGAAUACAUUUUCGUGUCCCAUAAUUCCAGUUGGAAUGAGCCCGUACAACAGCUAUGCUGAAGCAGUCACCGUCAGGUGACCAGGGCUUGUCAUAAGUGGUGGACUGACCGGUCGUGAACUGGCCCGUUCUGUGUGUGAAAUGAGAUGUAAUUUGUUGCCUGGGUAAAGUGACCUACAUGUGUGUGAAUGGAAACACCACGUGUAUUGUGUUAGAUUAAGAGGUGUAGUUCUGUCUCGUGUGCGUGUGUGUGUGUGUGUGUGUGUGUGUUUUAACAGACCCACUGGUUGAGUGGAGUGUUAAAAGCGAUGAACCAUUGAUAAUGUCUGUUGUUAGGGGGGGGAGGGGGAAUGCCUUUCAGUAAGCUGUCAUUUGAUUGAUGUAAAUGUUUAAUAUUUUAUUACUGCUGUACAUUUUUUUUUCUAUCCUCGUGUGAAAAGUGAAGUAAUUUAUUAAUUUAUUGUUUUGCUGUUUAAAAAAGAAAAAAAAAGAAAAGAAAAACAGAAAUACAGCUUGCCUAACAGUGUAUGCUCUGUCUCGGGUCUGUGAAGCAAUAUGCCAAAUGAUGCCACGGUAACAGUAAAAAAUAUGGUACAUUUGGGAUGCACAUGACUUUGUUAUUCCUGUAUUACCAGAAAAGAUGUGGACUGUAAAUAAACGAUGCAUUACGAAUACA
Long non-coding RNA from Anguilla anguilla (European eel), 2975 nucleotides. RefSeq lists it as uncharacterized. The transcript has 2 exons. The record is from RefSeq and is a predicted model, not a curated record. NCBI's taxonomy places the organism in Eukaryota, Metazoa, Chordata, Actinopteri, Anguilliformes, Anguillidae.